GGUAGUAAAAGUCGUAACAAGGUCUCCGUUGGUGAACCAGCGGAGGGAUCAUUACCGAGUUUACAACUCCCAAACCCAAUGUGAACGUUACCAAACUGUUGCCUCGGCGGGAUCUCUGCCCCGGGUGCGUCGCAGCCCCGGACCAAGGCGCCCGCCGGAGGACCAACCAAAACUCUUAUUGUAUACCCCCUCGCGGGUUUUUUACUAUCUGAGCCAUCUCGGCGCCCCUCGUGGGCGUUUCGAAAAUGAAUCAAAACUUUCAACAACGGAUCUCUUGGUUCUGGCAUCGAUGAAGAACGCAGCGAAAUGCGAUAAGUAAUGUGAAUUGCAGAAUUCAGUGAAUCAUCGAAUCUUUGAACGCACAUUGCGCCCGCCAGUAUUCUGGCGGGCAUGCCUGUCCGAGCGUCAUUUCAACCCUCGAACCCCUCCGGGGGGUCGGCGUUGGGGAUCGGCCCUUUACGGGGCCGGCCCCGAAAUACAGUGGCGGUCUCGCCGCAGCCUCUCCUGCGCAGUAGUUUGCACACUCGCAUCGGGAGCGCGGCGCGUCCACAGCCGUUAAACACCCCAAACUUCUGAAAUGUUGACCUCGGAUCAGGUAGGAAUACCCGCUGAACUUAAGCAUAUCAAUAAGCGGAGGA
RNAcentral lists this ribosomal RNA (638 nucleotides) under Trichoderma koningiopsis. Its description in RNAcentral is "eukaryotic LSU rRNA". The stretch from base 255 to 408 matches the Rfam family "5.8S ribosomal RNA". Lineage: Eukaryota; Fungi; Ascomycota; Sordariomycetes; Hypocreales; Hypocreaceae. The record is from RNAcentral.